This 1041-nucleotide ribosomal RNA is filed under the name Ustilago sieglingiae. Its description in RNAcentral is "eukaryotic LSU rRNA". The stretch from base 401 to 1041 matches the Rfam family "Eukaryotic large subunit ribosomal RNA", at positions 1 to 624 of the family's 3401-position model. Lineage: Eukaryota; Fungi; Basidiomycota; Ustilaginomycetes; Ustilaginales; Ustilaginaceae. The record is from RNAcentral.
CGAAUUGCGAUAAGUAAUGUGAAUUGCAGAAGUGAAUCAUCGAAUCUUUGAACGCACCUUGCGCUCCCGGCAGAUCUAAUCUGGGGAGCAUGCCUGUUUGAGGGCCGCGAAUUGUUUCGAACGACAGCUUUCUUCUUUGCGAGAAAGUUGGCGGAUCGGUAUUGAGGGUUUUUUUUGCCAUUUUACCAUGGCUCCCUCGAAAUGCAUUAGCGCAUCCAUUUGAUAGGCAAGACGGACGAAAGCUUGAAUUUCGCCCUCUUUUCCCUGCCGGGUUUUGAUAAUAUCAGGACUUCGGAGGCGAAGAGAUGGGUUAGAGCUGGACGCAACGUUUUGCUGGUUGGAGUGCUUCUGAACCCCGCCCAUGCCUUUGUAAAAAAAAGGAAGGGAUUUUUCAAUUCAUCGGCCUCAGAUUGGUAGGACUACCCGCUGAACUUAAGCAUAUCAAUAAGCGGAGGAAAAGAAACUAACAAGGAUUCCCCUAGUAACGGCGAGUGAAGAGGGAAGAGCCCAAGAUUGAAAGCUGGCGUCUUCGGCGUCCGCAUUGUAAUCUCAAGAAGUGUUUUCCGCUUCGGACCAUGCCUAAGUCCCUUGGAAAAGGGCAUCAUAGAGGGUGAUAAUCCCGUACAUGGCAUGGAGCGCCCGAAGCUUUGUGAUACGCUUUCUAAGAGUCGAGUUGUUUGGGAAUGCAGCUCAAAAUGGGUGGUAAAUGCCAUCUAAGGCUAAAUAUUGGGGAGAGACCGAUAGCGAACAAGUACAGUGAUGGAAAGAUGAAAAGAACUUUGAAAAGAGAGUUAAACAGUACGUGAAAUUGCCAAAAGGGAAGGGUAGGAGGUCAGAGAUGCGGCCUGGGAUUCAGCCUUGCUUUUGCUUGGUGUUUUUCCCAGGUUGCAGGCCAACGUCGGUUUUGGGCACUGGAGAAGGGUAGGAGGAACGUGGCACCCCUCGGGGUGUGUUAUAGCCUCCUACUGGAUACAGCGACCGAGACCGAGGACAGCAGCGUACUCGCAAGAGCGGGCCUUCGGGCACCUUUACGCUUAGGGC